This 443-nucleotide ribosomal RNA is filed under the name uncultured bacterium. Its description in RNAcentral is "partial 16S ribosomal RNA". It matches the Rfam family "Bacterial small subunit ribosomal RNA", at positions 338 to 795 of the family's 1533-position model. The record is from RNAcentral.
CCUACGGGGUGCAGCAGUGGGGAAUAUUGGGCAAUGGGCGCAAGCCUGACCCAGCAACGCCGCGUGAAGGAAGAAGGCUUUCGGGUUGUAAACUUCUUUUGUCAGGGACGAAGCAAGUGACGGUACCUGAUGAAUAAGCCACGGCUAACUACGUGCCAGCAGCCGCGGUAAUACGUAGGUGGCAAGCGUUAUCCGGAUUUACUGGGUGUAAAGGGCGUGUAGGCGGGGAAGCAAGUCAGAUGUGAAAACCACGGGCUCAACCUGUGGCCUGCAUUUGAAACUGUUUUUCUUGAGUGCUGGAGAGGCAAUCGGAAUUCCGUGUGUAGCGGUGAAAUGCGUAGAUAUACGGAGGAACACCAGUGGCGAAGGCGGAUUGCUGGACAGUAACUGACGCUGAGGCGCGAAAGCGUGGGGAGCAAACAGGAUUAGAUACCCCUGUAGUC